AGAGUUUGAUCCUGGCUCAGAAUGAACGCUGGCGGCGUGCUUAACACAUGCAAGUCGAACGAGAAAGUUUCCUUCGGGAAGCGAGUAGAGUGGCGCACGGGUGAGUAAUACGUAGAUAAUCUACCUUCGAAUUUGGGAUAACAUCGCGAAAGUGGUGCUAAUACCGGAUAAUAUUUAUGGAGCUUCGGUUUUGUAAAUCAAAGAUGGCCAAUUCUUGAAAGCUAUUGUUUGAAGAUGAGUCUACGCACCAUUAGCUUGUUGGUGGGGUAAAAGCCUACCAAGGCUACGAUGGUUAGCUGGUCUGAGAGGAUGAUCAGCCACACUGGAACUGACACACGGUCCAGACUCCUACGGGAGGCAGCAGUGAGGAAUUUUGCGCAAUGGGGGAAACCCUGACGCAGCAACGCCGCGUGAGUGAUGAAGGCUCUUGGGUCGUAAAACUCUGUCAGUAGGGAAGAAGUUGUUUAUGGUUAAUACCCAUAGGCAUUGACGGUACCUACAAAGGAAGCACCGGCUAACUCCGUGCCAGCAGCCGCGGUAAU
RNAcentral lists this ribosomal RNA (542 nucleotides) under uncultured delta proteobacterium. Its description in RNAcentral is "bacterial SSU rRNA". It matches the Rfam family "Bacterial small subunit ribosomal RNA", at positions 8 to 524 of the family's 1533-position model. The record is from RNAcentral. Lineage: Bacteria; Deltaproteobacteria.